RNAcentral lists this transfer RNA (73 nucleotides) under Rhipicephalus microplus (southern cattle tick). Its description in RNAcentral is "tRNA-Ala". It matches the Rfam family "tRNA". Rfam says of the family: Transfer RNA (tRNA) molecules are approximately 80 nucleotides in length. Their secondary structure includes four short double-helical elements and three loops (D, anti-codon, and T loops). The record is from Rfam by way of RNAcentral. Lineage: Eukaryota; Metazoa; Arthropoda; Arachnida; Ixodida; Ixodidae.
GGGGGUGUAGCUCAGAUGGUAGAGCGCUCGCUUAGCAUGCGAGAGGUACUGCGAUCGAUACCCAGCACCUCCA